UGUGUCAGCAUUUAGGCUGUCCCAUGCCAAACCUAUCUGAUCUUGGAAAUUAAGCAGGGCUGAGCCUAGUUGAUAAUUGGAUGACGGACCUCCUGGGAAUACCAGUUGCUGUAUAU
Molecule: ribosomal RNA, 116 nt
Filed under: Salvator merianae (Argentine black and white tegu)
Lineage: Eukaryota; Metazoa; Chordata; Lepidosauria; Squamata; Teiidae
Source: RNAcentral